RNAcentral lists this ribosomal RNA (433 nucleotides) under uncultured bacterium. RNAcentral's name for it is "partial 16S ribosomal RNA". It matches the Rfam family "Bacterial small subunit ribosomal RNA", at positions 29 to 507 of the family's 1533-position model. The record is from RNAcentral.
AACGAACGCUGGCGGCAUGCCUAACACAUGCAAGUCGAACGAGACCUUCGGGUCUAGUGGCGCACGGGUGCGUAACGCGUGGGAACCUGCCCUUAGGUUCGGAAUAACUCCCCGAAAGGGGUGCUAAUACCGGAUAAUGUCUUCGGACCAAAGCUUUAUCGCCUUUGGAUGGGCCCGCGUUGGAUUAGCUAGUUGGUAGGGUAAAAGCCUACCAAGGCGACGAUCCAUAGCUGGUCUGAGAGGAUGCUCAGCCACACUGGGACUGAGACACGGCCCAGACUCCUACGGGAGGCAGCAGUGGGGAAUAUUGGACAACGGGCGAAAGCCUGAUCCAGCAAUGCCGCGUGAGUGAUGAAGGCCUUAGGGUUGUAAAGCUCUUUUACCCGGGAUGAUAAUGACAGUACCGGGAGAAUAAGCUCCGGCUAACUCCGUG